GUCGUUUGAUAAUGCCAAGCGGUUCUGUAUGCUUCGGACCAGUUCUAGAUCGCCUUCGCCGUCGGAACUCCAUUCGUCGGCGGCGGUAGCCGAAGGUGCGGCGGCGUCGGGCAAGUGGUGAUAGUCGGUUUUUUCGAGGUCGUCGGCGUCGGUGCGGAUGAUCAUACAGGCUCUCCUUAGGGCUUCCAUGUCCUCAUCAAAAGCGUCGUCGUUUUCGCUGCCGGAGAAUUCUUCUCCGUCGUCAUAAUCGUUGCGGUGAGACAUUGUUUCAGUACUCUCCGAAAAAUUUAUUAAAAAAAUUGAAUCUUUUUUUAGGGUUUAUUCAUUUAUCAAACAGAGUAACUGAAGUUAGAAAGAGAAAAGUGGCGGCAUGAUUGAAUCGUUUAUACGGUGGAGGGAGAAACGGUGGAGUCAAUUUAAUUGGAUCCGAUCAGACCACUAAACAUACAUGGGUUUGGGUUGGGCUUUCUCUUGACAAGGCUGGGCCAGACUGCCCCAUCUAUUAUUAUAGUUUUCUUUUUGCAAUUUUGAAGAUGGUAGCUAUUUUUCUUUCUUUUUCUAAUUGCAAAAAACCACCAUUGAGGUGGGGUUAUCUGGGACCUUUAUAUAUAAUAUAGAGCAUAAGAUGACGAAAUAUAUUUUGAGGGUGAAAUAAACCAAAACUAUCAAGCUCAAGAAAAGUUAAAAAGAAAUUAACUUCAAAGGUAAUAUAAAUAAAAAGAUAACAAAACAACUGAUUACCUGACAUAACAAAUUUUUUUCACAUCUAAAGAAAUAAUGCCAGAUAACUUUGAAGAAGAUCAUGAGAACCAGUAAGACACUGGCUAAGCUAAGAAGUCGAAGCUUAGUUGGGCAUCAAAUCUGCAGCAUAAUUAGCCUUCCUAAGCGCAUGCCUUCUAAAUAGAAGAAGAAAAAUUCACAAAAUGAAUUCAUGCUAAUAAAUAAGCAUAAUCCCGAUGACCAAGCCAUGGGAAUUGGGAAGAUAUCCAAACAAACACAUUAGCUGAAUCAAACUCCACCUCUAGACUAAUAAAACCUAGUUGAGUAAUAAACUUCAACCCCUCACAAACAGUUAUCAAUUUAGCAAAAAGAAUCUGUUGGUGUAUAAGAUAAUGAACAAAGACAACAAAAAUCAAAUCUUUAUAAUCAUGAAAAAAUAUCACCAUCGGUAGCCAUACUAAGAUUGUCCCUAAAACAAUCACCCACAUUUAACUUCAUUAUCCCAUGCAACAGCCUCAACCGAGAAAUGAACCAAAUAGGCGUACACGAUGGCACAACGACUCUCAAACCCCUCAUAAUAUGAUGUUAACAAAAACAAUUAGAUAACAAUUAAGAACAGUAGGUAAUUUACGUGAAAUUAAUUGGUAACAGAAUUAAGCAGCAGCAAAAAAAAAAAAACUGGAAUUUAAAAGAAAAAAAACAAGAACAACUGGAAAUUAACGAAACAGAGGAAAUAAACCCGAUGCCCGAACACAGUGUCCUUAAAACAGAUUUACCACCUACUGUAGUGCUUUAGGUUUGCUGGUAACUAUUUCCCAGGAUACAACGGGUACGAAUUAUCCGUCAAGCACAGACAUAUAAUUCUGGUGAACCAUAACAGCGUACAAACUCGAUUAGAAACAGGACGUCAGAAGGAGGAAAGAAAUUUUUGUAAGUGCUAUGUGUGCUAGUUGCUCUCGUGUGUCCAAAAUAGAAGAGGAAGCUGCCUUUUUAUACACAUGUGAGUAUGUAAUAGUAGCAUAAUAUUGAAUUUAUGAAUUCAAUAUAUGUGAUUUAUUGUUGUAACAGCCAAAUGAAUAAAAACAAUUCAAUUCAGUCUUUUGAAUUCAAAUUUGAAUUGCAUAACAGCCCAAAAAUAAUUGCGAAGCUGUUAUGCAAGCCUGGGUGAUUUUGGGUUGACAUUCGCGUACGCAGGAUGCGCAGGCGUACACGAGUUCAACCAAAUCGGUUUUGGAUUCGCACCCCCCCUGUGCACGCGCUUGUGACAAAAGUAACUGUUUUUACAUUAUUUCUAUAUACAGACACAAUCAAAAUUAUUCAAAAUUAGAAACUUACCGGCUGAAUCAUACGCUGAAAAGCGCUUCUGAAUCACAUGAAGAGUCUCGAAGUCAUCCUCUUCGUCGUCGUCCGAAACAACUGGCGGAAGAGUACACAGAGCCUCCAGAGACAGCGGCUGGCACAAGUCGUUUGAUAAUGCCAAGCGGUUCUGUAUGCUUCGGACCAGUUCUAGAUCGCCUUCGCCGUCGGAACUCCAUUCGUCGGCGGCGGUAGCCGAAGGUGCGGCGGCGUCGGGCAAGUGGUGAUAGUCGGUUUUUUCGAGGUCGUCGGCGUCGGUGCGGAUGAUCAUACAGGCUCUCCUUAGGGCUUCCAUGUCCUCAUCAAAAGCGUCGUCGUUUUCGCUGCCGGAGAAUUCUUCUCCGUCGUCAUAAUCGUUGCGGUGAGACAUUGUUUCAGUACUCUCCGAAAAA
RNAcentral lists this long non-coding RNA (2468 nucleotides) under Citrus sinensis (sweet orange). RNAcentral's name for it is "long non-coding RNA (CSIN_LNC004047)". The record is from RNAcentral. Lineage: Eukaryota; Viridiplantae; Streptophyta; Magnoliopsida; Sapindales; Rutaceae.